UAGGAGAGAGAAAGGGAGACUUCCUAGUGUAUUAAGUUUCCUAGGAAGUCUCCCUUUCUCUCUCCUU
This is a non-coding RNA of Pelobates cultripes (western spadefoot toad), 67 nucleotides long. Lineage: Eukaryota; Metazoa; Chordata; Amphibia; Anura; Pelobatidae. The record is from the annotation of a GenBank genome assembly.